AUGCAUGAUGCUGAUGUUGUUGCGAAAGGCUUUCCUAAAGUGACGAAGAACUGUGGCCUUCUUGAUGAGGUUACAGGGCUGUUUCUAUUUUCUGGUUAUGGAAUUGGUUUUGGUUGUUUGACAGUUGGGAAUGAGUUAGAAAAGUUGGCUGUUAGAGUUUUAUGUAGGCUGAUUUAUGCAGGUAGGCAGGAGGUACAACAAGUUGACGAAGCAAGGAGUUUAGACACAAAGGCUAGUGAAGAUGAAAGCAAAGCUUUGGCCAUGGAGUUGAUGAAGGUGAAAGCGAAAACAUGGUUGAAGCUUAAAGUUAGGUGA
This is a non-coding RNA of Vicia faba (fava bean), 315 nucleotides long. The record is from the annotation of a GenBank genome assembly. Lineage: Eukaryota; Viridiplantae; Streptophyta; Magnoliopsida; Fabales; Fabaceae.